AGCAUCCCAGAGGCCGCUUCCUCGGUCGAGGACCCAGAGAGACUCAGGGGAAAUUAGAGCAUGAUGGCGGCCGAGGUCGCUUGGCGCAACCAUCGUCUUUUUUCUUUAUUUUUAGCUCAUUAGUGCCUUGCCUCGGCGCUGUUUCCCUAAGCUCCUCUCUCCAACCAGUACUGCCCUAUAACGGAAUCCAUACGUGCCGGCUCCUUGAUUUAUCCCCUCCGAAGUGCUGAGUGUGGGCUGGUUGUGCGUCAUUGGACUGUCAGGAUGUCACUCCCCAGUCAAAUCUUCAAGCUAUUGGUGGAACAGCAAGAAAGCCCGUCCAUCAACAAGGGCUAAUACCAUUGGUUUGACUCCACUGUGUUAUUUCCUGGCACCUUAUUGGGCAAAUAGGUGCGUCAGAUCCGGAUUCGCUCUGCUACGGUUAAUUGUUUACUGGGGAUUUGGGGUCAACUCUGGUUGUUUGGCCAGUAGUUGACGAUAAUAGUGACUCCCUUGCCUAUUUUGUGCCAAGUAUUGGGCUGCUUUCUUCACAAACAUUAUCUGGUUAAACCUGGGAGUAAUGCAGUAUCCAGUUUUUAUAGAUGGGAAAUUAAGGCUGGCGAGAGCUUAGAAAACUUGCCCAAGGUCAUCCAGAUACAGAGUCGUUGGUGGGCCUGGCAUCUGGUCCUGGGUCAAACUGCAGAGACUUCACUCUUUUUAUUAUGCUUUAGUGCCUCCACCUUAGACGAUGUACUUGUCAGCCAACCUAGCAUCUUAAAAACGUUUCAUUUGGAACUCAAAGUCUUCAGUCAGUUUCUAGAAGUGACUUUGUUGGGGACUUACUAUGGAAAGGUUGUCAUUGCCUCCACCACAUCUUCCUCCCCAGGACCCAUUCCUCUCCCCUUUAAGGUAGACAUUUCUGCCUCCUUUUAUGCGAAGCCUAGGCACCACUCGCAACCCCUGACCAACCAUCUACAACUCAUUCUUUGGAGAGAGUCCUCAAGAGCUGGAAAACUAGGAGAAAUCAAGUCUAAAGAGAGAGACAGAAUAAAUCGUCUUAGAAAUGAAUAAUUUAUUGCAUGCAAAGAGAACAGCCCUUCAGCUCCUGGAAAUCUUCCAGGAUAGUUGAUGCUGAGCAAGACGUGUGCUCCUGGCUGGUGGCCACUGGGUUCUUUCCCUAUAGCAGCAUUCAUCGAAGUGAAUCCAACAUUUCAGCCAGAGGAGGGCAGGACGCUUAGGACCCAUUGCCAGUGAGCUUUUGCGACCGAAAUGAUCUCCAGGAGCACAACGCUGGACUCUAGCCCACAUUCCAUCUUGGGUAAUUAACAUUUUACCGUCCCAAAUCCCCAUCCCCUGUAGCUUCAGUGGGAUCACCGCCCUUGUUUCACUUCCUGAUCCAAGCUGUUGUGUAACCUCCUUGGCACUGCUUUAAUAAUAAAACAACCAUUGUAACAUAGUAACAAUGCUCAACACUUAGAGCCUUUCAGCAAAUGAAGCCAAGGUAUUUCAUAAACGUCAAUUAAGAGUAAGUGGCAUGUAUUCCUAGGGCAACUGCAAGAAGGACAGAAGAAAGAUCGUGCGUCAAAUUCUAAUAUAGGUUGUAAGAACGUGAGUCCUUAAAAUUGUAUGCACAUACCCCAUAUUAGCCUUCCAGUAUGGGGAUUCUGAACUCAAAAACACAAUGAAUGAGAAACAUUCAGAAUCUAAAACCUUCCUAAUCUUCAAAGUUGGUUGCUUGGACCCCUAUUUUAGCACUUAAGUUGGUGCUUGACUUUCUGGGUAAUUGUUUGAUACAUUUCAGUUGUAAGUACCUUGAAGCAGAUGGUUUCUUUUUCAUCUUUGUGUCCUUCACAUUGUUCUGAUCGUAAAAGGCCCCCAAAUAAAUAAUUACUCAGUAAAUGUUUAGUGAGCAUGUCAGGCACUUUUACUAAGUUACAAAGGCUAUGCAGAUGAGUGAUACACUCUCUCUUCCUUCAAGGACCUCAGUCGAGUAGGGGUGUCCAGCAGAUAAGCAGAUAACCAUGAUGCAGUGCUGUGAGAAGGUGCCCUGGAAGCAAAUGGUAGGGACAUGGGACUCCAUCUCGGGAGGGACAGAAAUGGCUUCCUGGAAGAAGUGACACCUUCAAGGAGAACUAAAGAAUGAGUUACGGUUAGCUAGGCAAGAGACUGGUGAUGUGUGGUGACCUACGACAUUUGCUCUCUGGUGGCAGGGAGCAGAAUGGGAAUAUCCAGAGAUGGCCAAAGCCUGUUCUUCUUAGAAUCUUUGUCCAUAAAGGCCUCAGCAAUUUGUCCACUCCACCUCAUUGUGCCUUCCCUCCCAGAGACAAAACAAAUGCCUGAAACCUUCUCCUAUUUGCCCACUUGAGAAUAGGAAAAUAAUUUCCAAAUAAGAUGGCCGUUUUUCUGAUCAUAAAAGUAACAUUGAGGCCAGGCACAUUGGCUUAUGCUUGUAAUCCCAGCAAUUUGAGAGGCCAAGGCGGAAGGAUUGCUUGAGGCCAGGAGCUUGAGACUAGCUAGAGCAACACAGGCAGAGCCCAUUUCUACAAAAAGAAAGAAAAUAAAUAGUUGCGCAUGGUGGCCUGCGCCUACAGUCCCAGCUACUUGGGAUGCUGAGGUGGGAGGAUUGCUUGAGCCUGGGAGUUCAAGGCUGCAGUGAGCCACACCACUGCACUCCAGCCUGGGCAAUAGAGCAAGACCCUGUCUCAAAAAAAAAAAAAGUAACAUUGAGUAAAUAUAAUAUUAACUCAAUAUUUAAUAUUCUGUAUUUCAGACAAUAUAGAAAGUUAUAAAGUAAAAGCCGCCCAUAGUCUGUUACAUCCAGACACUGUUAAGGAGACUAUCUUCCCAGACUCUUUUAUGAACAGACCCACAAAUGAGUUUCUUCUUCCAACAAACAGUGGGAUGUGGUUCAGGGUCUUUUCUGGGCUCUCAGAGCUCUCAUCACCCAGAACUGCGGCUUUGGAUGGAACCUGCCCUCGCUUUCUAUACUUAUAGGAAGGAAGCCAAUCUGUCAAUCAAAUAUUUAUUGUGGAGAAGAUGGGUUUCAAUUCCUGUCAGAGCCAAUGGCAGGACUUUUGGGGCUUACUCAGCCUGGUGUGAAUGUUAAGCCAAUGAUUGGGGUGAGGGCGUCUGCCCUGUAGGGCUUACAGGCAUGCCUUGGUGCCUGCGGAAUCAACUCAUACCCUGAAAAGGCAGCCCAGGUCAGAGAAUGCUAUGCCAGGGUGCUCUCUUGUGCUUGCUCUCAUUUCCUCUCUGCAUGCUACUUGGGGAAAAUAUUUUUCUGUUUGUUUGUUCCAACCCACCCAGCUUUCAGAGUAAAAAGACUCGUUAAGCCCUGCACACUUGUAUGCAGGCCAAGUGCACUAUGUUCUUGGAGCGCUGUGCUAUUCUUAGCGCUCUAUAUGUGGUGUUCUAUACAGUUGGCUUUUUGCUGGAGGGGAAGGCAGAUUUCAUGAGUGAUAGCUGCCUUGGCUGGCUACCAAAAGUGCUCUGAGCCAUCUCAAGCAACAGGCCUUCCUUUUUUCCCUUGAGAGGUUGUGUUGUGAUCCCUGCCCUCGGCUUGGACAAAUUCCAAGGCAAUGGGAAUUUUUGUGAACAAUUCUGCAAUAACCCACAAGCUGGGGGAAGGGGGGAUAGCAAGCUGGAUCUGCUCCAGCUCUAAUUUCUGUGACACAGAAGAACUCCUUCCGCCCUUUGCACUGGCCCCUCAUAGCUAUGAAGAAUUUGGAAGUGUUCAUUAAGCAUUCUCCAAUUCUUGAAGCUUAUAACAAUGGGAAGAUCCCUGUAAAGGAAUCUGAUCCAAAAGACAAGGGGACAGCUGACAGCUGAUACUGCUUGCUUGGGCAGUGGGUGUAGCCAUUGCCAAAGACCAAGAGCAAUGAGGCAGGGAAACUCUCUAAAGAGGGCUGAUUACAGAGGGCAUGCUUAUAAGCAUUUAUUGCAUGUCUGGGAGCAUUUACUGUGCAACACAUCCCUUGUGUCUGUCUCACCUUCUAAAUCACCUAUCAUUUUUUAUGACCACACUUCCUGAGAAGCUACUUAGUUAAGCAGCAAACACUGGACCCCCUCAUGUGUGCUGGCCAAUGCUAGACACACAGGAGGCAGCUCACAAGAGAACCAGGAUUAUGGUUAAUAAUAACUACCCUUUGGUGGACACUUGCUGUGUGUCAUACACUGUACUGAGGGCUUUACGUGGAUUAUGGCUGUUAAUCUUCACAACAACCAUUGUUAUCCACAUUUUCUAGAUAGGAAAAUGGAGGCACUGAAGGGCUAACUAACCCAUCGUUGAACCUAGGCGGUCUGACUCCAACGAGUAAGCUCUUGUCCACGCUGCUAUAUUGCCUCUGGGAUGUCUGACUUGGGAACCCCACAGUGCAGCUGGGGAGAUGACCAGCCCUCAAUGAACAGUUGUCCUCGUAGUCUUUAGUAUCUCAGCCCCAUCCUCUUUACCCCCUAUAAACUCAAGGAAAGAAAUACACCUCUUUCCGGCUAAAUUACUGCCUCUGGUGGUCCUUCCUCCACGUCCCAACUGAGAUCUGGCUUUUCUCCCACUCCCUUCAAAUAGCUUCCUUCCCUUUCUUCUCUAUUUUCUUAUCCUAGCUUUUUAAAUAAUGGCCUGCGGCCAUCUCCACCACCAGGAAUGCUCUCUCGUUUUCUCUCUCUGAACCUGGCUUCUAGCCCUAACUCUACUGAAAUUCAUUUCUCUAAGCUCAUCUAUAACCUUUUUGUGGCCAAGAUCCAAGAGACUUUCUCAGUCCUUGUUUCCAUGGCUUCACCAAUACGUUUUACUCUGAGAAUCUUUUCUUUGCUUCCCCAAAUAGCCAGCUUUCCUCCUACCUCUACAACUGUUCAUGCUCUUUUCCCUACCAUCUCUUUCUCUAAGCUCCUUCAAAGGAAUCUGUCUGCACUUCUCUCCUUAUGUUGUCUCUGGGGGCGUGCGACGCUCGCAGGACUCAGCAAGCUCAGCUGGGUCAUUAUCCUACUUUCACCUCUAAGAUGAGAAUUCUAUCUCUCCAUCUCCACCCUUCAUUCUGCAGCUUGUUUGCUGCGUGACUUUUUGCAAGUCACACAAACUAUCUAAGCUUCAGUUUCCUCGUUUCUAAAAUGAAUAUAUUGAAUCGGAUUUGUUAUUCUCCACCUAAGAUAAUGAUAAAACCUAACAUUUUAACCCACAUACCAGGCCAGGCGUAGUGGUUCAUGCCUGUAAUCCUCCCAGCACUUUGGGAGGCAGAGGCAGGUGGAUCAUGGAAGUCAGAGGUUCAAGACCAGGCUGGCCAAAAUGGCAAAACCUCAUCUCUACUAAAAAUACAAAAAUUAGCUGGGUAUGGUGGCGCGCACCUGUAAUCCCAGCUACUCAGGAGGCUGAGGCAGGAGAACUGCUUCAACCUGGGAGGUGGAGGUUGCAGUGAGCUGAGAUCGCGCCACUGCACUCAAGCCUGGGCAACAAAGGGAGACUCCAUCUCAAAUUAAAAAAACUGCAUACUAUGCCAGGCAGGACUAAGUGGAAAAUGAAAGCAUGGGGUUCUGUGUUCACAGGUUUCAUGCCCAUGAAGCCAGCUCUAGUACCAGCCUCUGCUCCAAGCAUUGUAUAUGUAUGAGCUUAUUCAGUCCUCAUAGUAACUUUCUGAGGUAGAUACAGAUGAAGAAAGUAAGGCAGAGAUAGGUUAAGCAGUUGCCCAAGGUCAGUUUUUAAUUGGUAGAAUUGAGGAAAAUAACACUUGCCUGUUGGGGCUGUUGUGAGACUCACGGGUGCAGGUGCAUAGGGAAGGCUGGUUCCUGUCCAGGGACCCCUCAGCCCGGCCAUGCCCAUUCUCCGGCAGAGAGUUUGUCCAUGUGGUUUCUGCUGCCUAUGAUGCCCCCUCUUCCUCUGCCUGUCCCCAAGUCUACACUUUCUUCAAAGCUCAGUUCAAGCCCCUCCUCCUCCUCUGAGGGGUUUCUGCAGCCGAGGCAGGCCCACAUCUCCCUUCCCCUGGCAGAUUUCCUGAGCACCCAUAGUGAAGGCAGCCCCCUCCCUGCCUUAGGAGCACUCGCUGGCCUUUGCGUACUCCAGGCUCAGUAAUAACCAAUCCUACAAGGCCAGAGGAAAAACUUUUUUCUCCAUAUCCUUGGAGCAGCUUGCUGUAGACUGUCUCACCCACCAGACAGGAAGGCUUUGCGGGCAAAACCUAUAUUUGAGUUAUCUGAGUCUUCACUGUGUCCUCGAUAAUUGUGAUUCUCAUAAUUCUCCUAAAAGAGUUCUGUCUAGGCUCUGGACCUUUCCCUGGAAUGCCUUGCCUCAUUGUCCCCUCCUCCAUUCACUCCUCAGGUAUCGGCUCAGAGAUUACCUCCUCCUCCAGGAAGCCUACCCUGUUCUUCUCCCCCAGGUUAAGUGCCUCCUCUGGGCUUCUUUACAUGCUGUGCUUUCCCAUCAGAACACUUGCCUCCCAGUAUCCAUCUUCCUAACCAUGUUCUGAACAUUUGAAGGUAAAGGCCAGGUCUAUCUUAUCACAGUGCCUGGAACACAGUAAGUUCUCAAUAAGUUCGUUUGAACAAAUGAAUGAACGAAUGAAUGAAUGAAAAAAUUAAAUGUUGAGCAGGUGCAGUGGCUCACAUCUGUAAGCCCAGCUACUUGGGAGGCUGAGGUGGGAGGAUCACUUGAGCCCAGGAGUUAGAGACCAGCCUAGACAACAUAGCAAGACCCCAUCCCUAAAGUUUUUUUUUUAAUUAGCUGGGCAGGGUGGUGCAUGCCUGUAGUCCCAGCUACUUGGGAGGCUGAGGCGGGAGGAUCACCUGAACCUAGGAGUUUGAGGUUGCGGUGAGUUAUGAUUAUGUCAUUGCACUCCAACCUGGCAACAGAGACCCCCAUCUCUUAAAAAAAAAGUUGGUGAAAACUCUGGGCUCUGCAGGCAUCUCAGCACAGGGCUUGGCACCUGAUGGGUGCUUAUGUACAUUUAUGAAAUGGGUGAGAACAAAUCCAGAAUUUCUGUUCAGAAGAAGCCUUAGUGGCAGCGGUCUGGUUGGAGGAGUGAGACUAGUGAAUUCCUCUUGACAGAACAAUGACAAGGUAAACAUGAGAGUUGAGAGUCCGUGUUGGGAGCGGAGGCAUAAAGGAGAGGUGUCCUAGGCCAGAGGUCAGCAAGCCCAGGCUUGAGGACCAAAUCCAGCCCACUGCCUGUUUUGGCACAGCCUGUGAGCUAAGACUGGUUUUUGCUUUUGUUUUUUUGUUUGUUUGUUUUUGAGAUGGAGUCUAGCUCUGUUGCCCAGGCUGAAGUGCAGUGGCAUGAUCUCAGCUCACUGCAACCUCCGCCUCCCAGGUUUAAGCAAUUCCUACGCCUCAGCCUCCCGAGUAGCUGGGAUUACAGGCAUGUGCCACCACACCAGGCUAAUUUUUGUAUUUUUAAUAGAGACAGGGUUUCACCACGUUGGCCAGGCUGGUUUCGAACUCCUGACCUCAGGUGAUCCACCCACCUCGGCCUCCCAAAGUGCUGAGGUCACAGGCAUGAGCCACCGCACCUGGCCGGUUUUUGCAUAUUAAAAGAAUAUUACUACUUUGUGAUACAUGAAAAUUAUGGAUUCAGAUUUCAGUAUUCAUAAGGUUUCACUGGAACAUGGCCACACCUGCUUGUUUCUGUACUGUCUAGGGGUGCCUCAGUGCUAUGACAGUAGCUGCAACAGACACACUGAAUGUUCACUUUUUGGCCCGCCACAGAAGGAGCUUGCAGAUCCCUGCUUUGGCCGUCUAGCUGACCUAGGGGAGGAAGGACGUAUGCUGCCAGCCAGCCACAAGGUGUCAGCCUCUCACCAUGAUGCUGCCAGCCGCGUGGGCUUCUCCAAGUUCUCCAAGGCUUCUCUCCAGGGCCACCUGCGCAGGACCAGGACUGUGGCCCCUAGACCCCGUCCCACCAGGCUAUAGUCACUAGUGUGAAAGCCAAAGACAUCAAGGCGGGGUGUGGAAUCUACAUGAGGAGUACAGGCCUGGCUUGGGAAGCCCCAUGGCCUGGAGAAGGGUUGGCAGACUUCUCCGGACAUGCUCUGUUUCUUUGAUUUAGGUUUUAUUUGUAUUUUGUAUACAAAAGAUUCUCCAAACAAACUAAAAUUGUUUAUUUCACCACAAACUAUCAAUCCAGAAAGGUUGUGGGACUUUUGCACAACCAGAUAAGACCGCAGCCCUCUAAGGAUGAACCUGCAUGAGGGGAACACAGGUCCCUGCCAAGCAGAGUGGCUCCGAAAUGGCAUCUCUGGCAGGUUUUCUCUCCCUUUCUGUCGAAACCUGGGCCUUGGCCAGGUGUGGUAGCUAAUGCCUGUAAUCCCAACACUUUGGGAGGCCAAGGCGGAAGGAUCGCUUGAGGCCAGGAGUUCAAGUCUAGCUUGGGUAACACAGUGAGAUCCUAUCUCUACAAAAAAAUAUUGAAAAUUAGGGCAGGAGCGUUGGUGCAAGCCACUACUACUACUAGCUACUUGGGAAGCUGAGGAUGGAAGAUCUCAAGGAACUCAUUGAGCCCAGGAGUUUGAGGCUGCAGGAAGCCAUGAUUACGCCACUGCACUCCAGCCUGGGUGACGGAGCAAGAUCAUCUUAAAAAAGCAAAAAAGAAAGAAAGAAAGAAAAAAGAAACCUGAACUCUGUAGCUUCCUUCAGGUGAACAAGCAGUUAGCCCUGUGUGCCAACGAUUCAAUAUGAAAGUGGUAAAUUUCACAGGGAAUUAAAGGGGAGGAUCUAGGAGAGAAGAUCCCAAAAGGAAAAUAAGCCACUGGAGGUCACAACCCUGGAGGCUCCUCCGAUGCCCAGCUGUUUGCGUCAGCCCCUGUGCUAGGUGCUUCACGUGGUUACUCUGGAGAGUCGUCUCGAGAUCAUCCCCAUUUGACACAUGAGGAAACAGGAAAGUUCGGGGAUGUGAAAUUGCUUGCUGGGGUCAUUAGCUGUUCGGUGGCAGAGAUAGGAUUUCAGCCCUUGCCUGCCUGUUCUGAAGCCUGUCCUCUCUAUGCCAUGCGCCCCCGCCAAGGUCAUGCAGGCAUACCACUUCAAUACCAUGCCUUCCUCGCUCACCAUGGAUCCCCAGGCCGGGCACCCAGCAAAUAUCCACCGGAUGAAUAAAUGGGUGCAGGCCUGCAAGCACUGCAGCGAACCUUUCCCUGUGCAGUCGCCUAACUUCCAAGACACUUCCAGGAAGAGAUGAGGCAGAGAGUCAAAGCUGCGAGCAGGAAAUAAGAAUCAUGACGCAUGGUUUUCUGCACACCAUGGGCUCUUUUCCCCUUGCUUGUACCCACAGCACUGUGGGCACCGCGGACAUACUGCCUGUUCUUGCCUUUUGCUCCUUUCCUCCCCCAGCUCCCACGCGCUUGCUGGCUUCCGUGGCAGGCCCUAGCCCAUCUCCUUCUAUUACGUGGACAUCUGCUCCUAAAGCUGCUUUUCAGUGGCUGCAGGCAAUGCCCUAACUUCUAGCCAUUUUUCUAAAUGAAAACUUGAUUCCAGCCGGCUGUCACUGUGAAAGUGCUCUAGGACGGUCCAGAUAACCAGAUUCUAGCCCUUCCUGCGACUCAUUGGGUGACUUUGGACAAAUUUCCUCACCUUGGGCCCUCCUUUCUAUGCUAGCUUUUGAAAGGAAGCAUGCAGACAGGGCCAUCCUUGAGCAGCUAGAGGCCUGCAGGCCCAGUGCCACCUAGUCUGGACCACCCAGGAGAUGAAGACCAUGCACUUAGGACAGAUGAAGAAAGGAGAAGCCUUCCUAGAGGAAAGGAUUAGAUCAGGAGGGACUUUUGAUAAACCCAGUCCUUAAGAAAUUAAAUCACAGCAGAACCCCAUUUGGCAUAUACGGUAUUAGAAGUCAGGAAUGAGACAGAAAGGGUCAUGAUCAAUUCUAGAACCUCUAUGACACAUCCUGUUUAUUCACCUGGCUAAUUCUCUGUACUGAAUGGCAGUCAAGUCUUCAAUCAUUUAACAAAUAGGUAUUAAGCAUAUAUUGUGGCUGCAGAGCUGAGCCAGGCAGGUGAGGCACCAGUGCUCACAAAGCCCGCUCUCCAGGCUCAGGAACCCCAAGGACAGAUGGGUACCUAUCGUGCCAGGCAGCAGCACAUGGCAUCUAGAAGCAGGGCUUUCCUCAGUCCCUAGCUGGGAGAGCAGAAGCUGCAAGGGGAAGGGCGAGAAGUCCAGGCCUGCCUAACUGUGCAAGGUCUCUGGGCUGAUCUCAUGGUUACUUAGCCCCAGAACAUACUCACGGCUGUGCCUGCCCUUCUUGCCCUUCUCCUCACUCAACCUUGGACUGGUUCUGCUCACUGAGCUGGGGGUACCUGAUUUGCAGCAAACCUCCUGCCCCUGGAACAGCAGUGCAGACGAUCAGCAGCAGCCACUACGUCCUUUGGGCAGGGAGGCAGGAGUGUGGCGCACUGCCAGAUGAGAAAUUGCAUCCCUAGCGCACGGCAGGGCUAAUUAGCUGCUAAGGGGGCUUUGUCAAUGUUCACUGAGAAUGUGGUCAUGACAGGCAGGUAGCGAUUCCUGCUUGGCCUGACUUGAGUGUGGAAGGCUCUCUGCUGUCAGCACUGGCUGCUUUUGGAGGUGGGUCCACCGCUGGGCACACACAGGUAUGUGCAGUGGUACUGUCUGUGCAGGACGUAGCUGAGCCUGAAGGAAGAGGGACAGACUGGCAGGAAACCUGACAGGGAGCUGAGUGGAGUGAGGCAGAUGUGUGUACAUAAACACACCUGUCAUGGGGAAUAUAAGGUGGUAAAGAACUAAGAAAGAUAACCAGAACAGAAAGGAAAGAUGCUACUGCGUCUCCCAGGAAGCAGCGUCUCAGGCAAGUCAGCCAACCUCUCUGGGCCAGGGUGCUGUGUCCAAGGUACCCAGGGCAGAGAGUGCAUUGAAACACUUCGGAGAAGUGGCCUGUGCAGGCCACCAGGUCAGGACUGUGAAGAAAAGAGCCAGUGCUCUCAACGGGGGCACUUUUACCCCCCAGGGGACAUGUGGUAACAUCUGGAGACAUUUUUGGUGGUCUCAUCUGAAGGAGUGCUAGUGGCAUUUAGUAGGUGGAAGCUAGGGAUGUUGCUAAACGUACUAUAAUGCACAGGGCAGCCCCAUCCCCAACAGAGGAUUCUGCAGCUCCAAAGCAUCACCAUUGCCAAGACCCUGAGCUCAAGGAACAGACUCAGACCUGCAUUCUCUGUGACGUGGGAUCUGGGGAGAGUUGUGUGCCUCCUCAUCUGAAAGAUGGGGAUAAUGAACCUUAGCCAGGCUGGGCGUGGUGGCUCAUGCCUGUAAUCCCAGCAGUUUGGGAGGCCAAGGCAGGCAGAUCACCUGAGGCCGGGAGUUCAAGAUCAGCCUGACCAACAUAGUGAAACCCUGUCUCUACUAAAAAUACAAAAAUUAGCCGGGCGUGGUGGCGCGUGCCUGUAAUCUCAGCUACUCAGGAGGCUGAGGCCAGAGAAUCACUUAAACCCAGGAGGUGGAGGUUGUAGCGAGCUGAGAUGACGCCACUGCACUCCAGCCUGAUCGACAGAGCAAGACAUUGUCUCAAAAAAAAAACAAAACAAUUACUUGCGCUUCUCAUCAUACAACCUUAUGAGACCCACUCCCCCAAUACACAGGAAAACUGUUACCUUUCUAAAGGGCUCUUUGUUGAGCUUUUCUUAGUUUGAAACCUUCAUGUUACUAAAGCAUCUAGCAUGGUGACUGGCAUAUAGUAGGUGCUCAAUAAAUAUGAAAAAGAGAAAAGCAAUACAGUAGUAAACAAAAACAAAACAAAAAAAUAGCCUGGCCGGGUACGGUGGCCUGUAAUCCCAGCACUUUGGGAGGCCAAGGCGGGCGGAUCACAAGGUCAGGAGAUCAAGACCAACCUGGCUAACAUGGUGAAACCCUGUCUCUAAUAAAAAUAUAAAAAAAUUAGCCAGGCAUGGUGGUGGGCACCUGUAGUCAUAGCUGCUCAGGAGGCUGAGGCAGAAGAAUGGCGUGAACCCGGGAGGCGGAGCUUGCAGUGAGCCAAGAUCGCUGUCACUGCACUCCAGCCUGGGCAACAGGGUGAGACUCUGUCUCAGAAAAAAAAAAGAAAAAAAAAAAAGAAAUAGCCCACUUUCCCCUCUUUGGCCAGUUUCUUCCAUAUCUCUGGGUCUCAUUUUUUGCCUAGCCUUUCUAUAAAGUUCUACACAGGCAGAGGGUAGUGAUGUUAACAGAGGCUAUCUUGAAAGCCCUCGAGGGGUCAGGGAUAAGAUUAAGGACAGGUAGCUAAGGAGAUGGGAAGUUUUGCCAAAUCCCAAGGGGCAGGCUCCCAGAUCCAUCCAGAAGUCCUGUGCUUACUGCCCUUGUGGGGCAGAAGCAAGCGUGGCGGCCGCACCAGGGGCUCAGCUCACUGGGAGGUUAGGUUUCCCAAAGAGCUGCACCAGCUGUGAACACUUACCCUACAGAAGCUGACUCAGAAAGACAGCAGCUUGGUGGUGGUGUGGGGUGGGAGGGGGGUGCAGUGAAGCCAGACCCCAGCCCCGAGAGUGCUGCCUUAUCCUGUUCCUCCUAGAGCCCUUCCAAUGUAACCAGCCUUGCAGAAGCUGCUGUGCAGGGACCAAGGGCAUGAUCCACCCUUGAACUUGCCAUCCAACUGGGAGGGCCAGAUGUACCCUUGAGAUUUGAUGAGUAAGAGACUGCUUCACAAAGUAUGUGCAAGUGCUGGAACAGAGGGCAGGCGUACUCACAGCUGAGAAGCCAAGAGGCAGAACAGAGUGGGCCGGCACCCUGCCUGGGCACUCCUGCCUUGUGGCUGGCCCUCUUCCCACUAUGCCAACUUGCUUCCUAACAUAUGGUCUCCCCAUCAUUUCUACCAAGAAAGUGUGAAAAACGCCAUCUUGGCACAUGGAGAAACUGAGGCAGAAAGGAAGGCCUGGCUCAAGGCUGUGGUGACUUGGAGAUUCCAAUCAGGGAUCCUCCCAGAUUAGAUGUCAGGGCAGGGGAGGGACCUGGGUGUGCUUUGGGCCUAGAGGAGGUAAAGGGACAAAGCAGGGCCUGCUCUUCUGGCAGGGGAGGCACAGAUGCCCUUGGCUGACUUGCUUGGAGUUUACACAUUUCAUGUCCCAUACCUUCAAGGUGUCCGCCUCGAGCUGAGGUGUAACACCCCCACAUCCCACCUCCCCCCUCUCUCCCUUCCCUCCCCUCCAGAAUGAGCUCAUGCCACACUGCCUGGUCUUGGUGCCUAAGGAAACACUUCCCAGAAGCAUUUCACCUUCAUAAAAGCUCAGGGAGGUGGGCCAGAGUCCCUUCUCCACACGCCCUAGAAGCCAGCCUUGGGAUUAACAGAGAAGACCCUGGGGACAGGCUCACCCUUCCUUUCCCUUCCCCUCCCCACUGCCAGAGAGAUUGCAUCUCCUCAAUGGCCGCCACAUGUGGUCCCCACUUCCUGCUUCCUCAGAAGCAAUGCCUGGCUCCCACAGCCCAGCCAGAGCAGCCCCUUUUCUUGCUCUCACAUCAGCUGCCUUGCAGACAUCUGUACCCCUCCCCCAGGUGCUGGUAGUGUCCUAGGGUUUUUUAGAAGGAAAGAAAGAGGAUGAGAGUUUGGUUCAGAGGUCAGAGGGCAAGAAAGUCCGCUGCAUGGCUCUUCCACAGGGCUUGGAUCCCCCAUCGCCCUGCCGGCAGGGCCGGCUCACAGAGUCUGCAGUUUGGCAAUUUCUCCCAGGUCCAUUCACAAACUCUCCUCGGCCCUCUCCAGUCACCCAAGUGGGGAAGGCAGAAUGGAAUUGCUUACUGGGCCUCCCAGCUCAGCCUCAUGGCCAUUAGGCUGACCUGCUCUGGCGAGGCACAGGCUCCUAAAAAUGGCCUGACUCUCGCAGGAGGCAAAGGCCAGUCUGGCCAAAGUGUAACCUGGAAGCCCUGGUUGGUGAAGGGGUCCGAGGACCCCGUUAGAGUUGAGGGAGAAAAGGCAAAUGCUCCUGUCCUCAGGGCCCAGCCUCCCACACCCCCAAUCCCCUCUCAGCCAAGCUCCCUCCCUGCCUUGGGCUGUAAACCAAAGUUUACUGACUGAGGGAAGGAGCAGUCCCAGGUAAAGGCCCUGUAAGGACCCCCACAUAGGCCCGCAGCAGGCAGCAGCCAAGGAGGUCUCAACCACCCAUGCCGAGACUGCCAGGACGGCACUGGGCAGGGAAAAAGAGACCUCAGUGCGAGCGCUCUCAGAAAAGCAGUGUCAAAUUCUGCCCCCACUGCGGGAGGCCGCAGGAUCUUACCCUCAUUCAAGUCUAGUUCAGGAGCCUGCAGGGAUGGGGCCAGGAAGGCCACUGCAGCCAGUGCCCCUGCAGUUCCAGCUGCACCUUACAUCUGGAGUUCAGAGGCUAGAGAAAGACUGGAACUUGGGAUCCCAGGCUCAGGGCCCUGCCCUCUUCCCUUUUAUUCCACCAAUCUCUUGGGUGGGGAGUGGCGUGGGGAA
Molecule: long non-coding RNA, 14348 nt
Filed under: Homo sapiens (human)
Lineage: Eukaryota; Metazoa; Chordata; Mammalia; Primates; Hominidae
Description: non-protein coding lnc-ENTHD1-1:5
Source: RNAcentral